Molecule: ribosomal RNA, 253 nt
Filed under: uncultured bacterium
Lineage: Bacteria
Description: partial 16S ribosomal RNA
Rfam family: Bacterial small subunit ribosomal RNA
Source: RNAcentral
UACGAAGGGGGCUAGCGUUGUUCGGAAUUACUGGGCGUAAAGCGCGCGCAGGCGGUUCUUCAAGUCAGUGGUGAAAGCCCGGAGCUCAACUCCGGAACUGCCAUUGAAACUGUUGAACUUGAGUACGAGAGAGGUGAGUGGAAUUCCCAGUGUAGAGGUGAAAUUCGUAGAUAUUGGGAAGAACACCGGUGGCGAAGGCGGCUCACUGGCUCGUAACUGACGCUCAGGCGCGAUAGCGUGGGGAUCAAACAGG